UACGGAGGAUGCGAGCGUUAUCCGGAUUUAUUGGGUUUAAAGGGUGCGUAGGCGGAUCGUUAAGUCAGUGGUCAAAUUGAGGGGCUCAACCCCUUCCCGCCAUUGAAACUGGCGAUCUUGAGUGGAAGAGAAGUAUGCGGAAUGCGUGGUGUAGCGGUGAAAUGCAUAGAUAUCACGCAGAACCCCGAUUGCGAAAGCAGCAUGCCGGCUUCCUACUGACGCUGAAGCACGAAAGCGUGGGGAUCGAACAGG
RNAcentral lists this ribosomal RNA (252 nucleotides) under uncultured bacterium. RNAcentral describes it as "partial 16S ribosomal RNA". It matches the Rfam family "Bacterial small subunit ribosomal RNA", at positions 524 to 776 of the family's 1533-position model. The record is from RNAcentral.